AUGGGGAGAUCGCCCGCCCUCCCCGAGGCCGUUGGAGGCGGGCAUGGGCGGGCCGUUGGAGGGGGCGGGGCGUGCAGCUUGGUAACCGUUGCCGGGCGCAACGCCCCGCCCCGUGAGGGCAGUGCGAGGCUGAGGCGGGCGGGCGCCUGCUGCGGGCGGGCGCUGCGGGCGGGCGGGAGGGCGGCGGGAGCCGGAGGAGGAGCGGCCGGCGCCGCCACCGCCGCCGCCAUAGAGACUGUAGCCGUGGAGACUGUUACUUACCAACGCGGAGCGACACGCAGCGGCCGACGCCGCGGGAGCCGCUACCGGAACUCCCUGCCGAACUCCAGGAUUUGGGGCUCCGGCACCGUUUUCUUGACUUAGGAUUUGGGGGCUCCGGCACCGUUUUCUUGACUUUGACCAAAUAGUCACUGCGUUUGUUCUGGAAGGAACUCCUCCCUUCGCGUUUUCUUGCCCAUCCCAAAUACCCCCGGCGCCCCAAAUCUUCGGACCACUCUCCCCUGGAACCCUACACCGCUGCGUUUGGGGAUCCUUUACCAUGCCGCUCCGGGAAGCUCAAGCGCACCCAUAGCGUCCUCUUUGCCGAGAUCCCCAAUCUAGAAAACUUUCCCGAAGGAAAAUAUUGUGUGAACCGUUUGUAGGAAGAUCCAGGAGGCCGGGAGAGUGCGUGCGCAGCCCUCCUGUGCACACAGGCAGCACACCCCAAAACACCGGAUUGUCUUCCUCGCCCCUUUCCAUGGGUCAUAUCCGAGUUCGCAGUUGGGAUUCGCUAGGGCUGCGGUUGUUUCCUUGGACCCUAGAGAGCUCGGCGUCCGGACAGAGCCCCCUAGGGUGGCGGGGAGGGGAGUUGGGGCGGGGAACGCACCGAGAAACAGCUGGGACCGCUGUCUCUCCUGAGACUUCACUCCUACUUUAGUACGUCUCGGGAACACUCCGGUACUCAGGUCCCCCAGGAAAAAUCCUACAACGAUUGAGUGUUAAUAAAUGUUACUUUAUUAGCA
This 1001-nucleotide long non-coding RNA is filed under the name Mus spicilegus (steppe mouse). RNAcentral describes it as "lncRNA (ENSMSIG00000022182.1)". The record is from RNAcentral. Lineage: Eukaryota; Metazoa; Chordata; Mammalia; Rodentia; Muridae.